GACGAACGCUGGCGGCGUGCCUAAUACAUGCAAGUUGAGCGCUGAAGGUUGGUACUUGUACCAACUGGAUGAGCAGCGAACGGGUGAGUAACGCGUGGGGAAUCUGCCUUUGAGCGGGGGACAACAUUUGGAAACGAAUGCUAAUACCGCAUAAAAACUUUAAACACAAGUUUUAAGUUUGAAAGAUGCAAUUGCAUUACUCAAAGAUGAUCCCGCGUUGUAUUAGCUAGUUGGUGAGGUAAAGGCUCCCCAAGGCGAUGAUACAUAGCCGACCUGAGAGGGUGGUCGGCCACAUUGGGACUGAGACACGGCCCAAACUCCUACGGGAGGCAGCAGUAGGGAAUCUUCGGCAAUGGACGAAAGUCUGACCGAGCAACGCCGCGUGAGUGAAGAAGGUUUUCGGAUCGUAAAACUCUGUUGGUAGAGAAGAACGUUGGUGAGAGUGGAAAGCUCAUCAAGUGACGGUAACUACCCAGAAAGGGACGGCUAACUACGUG
Molecule: ribosomal RNA, 497 nt
Filed under: uncultured bacterium
Lineage: Bacteria
Description: partial 16S ribosomal RNA
Rfam family: Bacterial small subunit ribosomal RNA
Source: RNAcentral